This 441-nucleotide ribosomal RNA is filed under the name uncultured bacterium. RNAcentral's name for it is "partial 16S ribosomal RNA". It matches the Rfam family "Bacterial small subunit ribosomal RNA", at positions 338 to 795 of the family's 1533-position model. The record is from RNAcentral.
CCUACGGGAGGCAGCAGUGGGGAAUAUUGCACAAUGGGGGAAAGCCUGAUGCAGCAACGCCGCGUGAAGGAAGACGGUUUUCGGGUUGUAAACUUCUGUUCUUAGUGAAGAAUAAUGACGGUAGCUAAGCAGCAAGCCACGGCUAACUACGUGCCAGCAGCCGCGGUAAUACGUAGGUGGCAAGCGUUGUCCGGAAUUACGGGGUGUAAAGGGAGCGUAGGCGGGAAGACAAGUCAGCUGUGAAAACUACGGGCUUAACCUGUAGACUGCAGUUGAAACUGGUUGUCUUGAGUGAAGUAGAGGUUGGCGGAAUUCCGAGUGUAGCGGUGAAAUGCGUAGAUAUUCGGAGGAACACCGGUGGCGAAGGCGGUCAACUGGGCUGUAACUGACGCUGAGGCUCGAAAGUGUGGGGAGCAAACAGGAUUAGAUACCCGUGUAGUC